Molecule: ribosomal RNA, 429 nt
Filed under: Chloroflexota bacterium
Lineage: Bacteria; Bacillati; Chloroflexota
Description: Chloroflexi bacterium partial 16S ribosomal RNA
Rfam family: Bacterial small subunit ribosomal RNA
Source: RNAcentral
UGGGGAAUAUUGCACAAUGGGCGCAAGCCUGAUGCAGCCAUGCCGCGUGUGUGAAGAAGGCCUUCGGGUUGUAAAGCACUUUCAGCGGGGAGGAAGGCGAUAAGGUUAAUAACCUUGUCGAUUGACGUUACCCGCAGAAGAAGCACCGGCUAACUCCGUGCCAGCAGCCGCGGUAAUACGGAGGGUGCAAGCGUUAAUCGGAAUUACUGGGCGUAAAGCGCACGCAGGCGGUCUGUCAAGUCGGAUGUGAAAUCCCCGGGCUCAACCUGGGAACUGCAUUCGAAACUGGCAGGCUAGAGUCUUGUAGAGGGGGGUAGAAUUCCAGGUGUAGCGAUGAAAUGCGUAGAGAUCUGGAGGAAUACCGGUGGCGAAGGCGGCCCCCUGGACGAAGACUGACGCUCAGGUGCGAAAGCGUGGGGAGCAAACAGG